GACGAACGCUGGCGGCGUGCCUAAUACAUGCAAGUCGAGCGGACAGAUGGGAACUUGCUCCCGGAAGUCAGCGGCGGACGGGUGAGUAACACGUGGGCAACCUGCCUGUAAGACUGGGAUAACUUCGGGAAACCGGAGCUAAUACCGGAUACGUUCUUUUCUCGCAUGAGAGAAGAUGGAAAGAUGGUUUCGGCUAUCACUUACAGAUGGGCCCGCGGCGCAUUAGCUAGUUGGUGAGGUAAUGGCUCACCAAGGCGACGAUGCGUAGCCGACCUGAGAGGGUGAUCGGCCACACUGGGACUGAGACACGGCCCAGACUCCUACGGGAGGCAGCAGUAGGGAAUCGUCCGCAAUGGACGAAAGUCUGACGGAGCAACGCCGCGUGAACGAUGAAGGCCUUCGGGUCGUAAAGUUCUGUUGUUAGGGAAGAACAAGUACCAGAGUAACUGCUGGUACCUUGACGGUACCUAACCAGAAAGCCACGGCUAACUACGUGCCAGCAGCCGCGGUAA
Molecule: ribosomal RNA, 512 nt
Filed under: uncultured bacterium
Lineage: Bacteria
Description: partial 16S ribosomal RNA
Rfam family: Bacterial small subunit ribosomal RNA
Source: RNAcentral